UUUCCGUAGGUGAACCUGCGGAAGGAUCAUUACUGAGUUGUCAUGCUGUUCGAUCCUGGCAGACAAUUUUUGCAGUCAUGUCCUUGCCCUAACAAUCAUCUUCCAAACACCUGGGCACAUUUUUAAGCUUUUCUUUAGUUUGUUGCCGCUCUUUUGUGCUUUUCGCACAUUCCUUUAACUCAUUAUCCGCUAUUAACAAUAUUGAACGUGCACUCUGCCGCACGGCUAAUCAUAUAACACAACUUUAAUCACCGGAUCUCUUGGCUCUCGCAUCCAUGU
Molecule: unclassified non-coding RNA, 279 nt
Filed under: plant metagenome
Description: partial contains small subunit ribosomal RNA, internal transcribed spacer 1, and 5.8S ribosomal RNA
Source: RNAcentral